CUGCUUUGUGGUGGAGUGCUGCAUUGUUGGAGGGGCCUUUCAUUAGCUUGACUUGGUGUAUGGGAGAUGCACAGAAGAAUGGGAUGUUGAGCUCGGCUCCUUAUUCCUGCUUGGACAACGUGUACCUGAACAGACAAUCAGACCAGCUCUCCUGCCAAAGGAAUCUUUCCCACUCUGAUCUCUGCUGUAAAAGGAUUGAAGAAGCGCAAGCAAGCUGACAGAGUCUGAAGGAGCAAACUACACCAGGUUCAUGCAUAAUCUCUAUGAUCCAUCUUCGGAGGAACAACCGGUGCCGAUCUGAGAUCCUAAAUAAUAUAUGAAUGAUCAUUCUUGAUGAAAGGCUGCUGCUCAGCCGUGCUUCAUGUCUUCAUCCUUCCUUACGUACCCACAGUAUUAUCAGCUGCUGAGGACAACCGUGUUGUGGCUUCAUCUUCCUAUGGGAAGUCAUGCAGGCAAAGAGCAGGAUUACUCAUUCCGCUCUCACCUGCUGCAGCCCUCUUUGAGCACAAAGGAGACUGGGAAAUGGAAGAAAUCAAGGCCACAGAUUAGGUGGCUCUUGUCUGCCCAGCGCUCUGCCAGCUACAUGGCUGCGACAGGCUGCUUGUUGUGAAUUCAAAUAUCUUUAUAUCCAGCAUCUUGUUUACGCUGCCUGUGCAUUUGUAAGCAUGAAAAGUCUACUUUCUGCUUCCUGAUCUGCCUGCAGAAACAGCUUCCCAUUAUGACAGUAAUGCUGCCUGAAUAAAUAUUUCUAACCCAGGUAACAUGGAAUCCCUCUUAGGCAUCCUGGAGCAUCCAGCAGGGCACUCUCCUUCUCAACAAACUGAACAUUGCUUGCUUUUCCUCUCAUUCCCAAGUGCA
Molecule: long non-coding RNA, 858 nt
Organism: Lagopus muta (rock ptarmigan)
Lineage: Eukaryota; Metazoa; Chordata; Aves; Galliformes; Phasianidae
Exons: 4
Source: RefSeq, a predicted model, not a curated record